RNAcentral lists this ribosomal RNA (439 nucleotides) under uncultured bacterium. RNAcentral describes it as "partial 16S ribosomal RNA". It matches the Rfam family "Bacterial small subunit ribosomal RNA", at positions 339 to 795 of the family's 1533-position model. The record is from RNAcentral.
CUACGGGGGGCUGCAGUGAGGAAUAUUGCACAAUGGGGGGAACCCUGAUGCAGCACCGCCGCGUGGAGGAUGACGCAUUUCGGCGUGUAAACUCCUUUUAUAUGUCAAGAAAAUGACGGUAGCAUAUGAAUAAGCACCGGCUAACUCCGCGCCAGCAGCCGCGGUAAUACGGAGGGUGCAAGCGUUACUCGGAAUCACUGGGCGUAAAGGACGCGUAGGCGGGUUGGAAAGUCAGGUGUGAAAUCCUACAGCUUAACUGUAGAACUGCACUUGAAACUUCUAAUCUAGAGUAUGGGAGGGGGAGAUGGAAUUAGUGGUGUAGGGGUAAAAUCCGUAGAUAUCACUAGGAAUACCUAAAGCGAAGGCGAUCUCCUGGAACAUUAAUGACGCUAAGGCGUGAAAGCGUGGGGAGCAAACAGGAUUAGAUACCCUUGUAGUC